UGGGGAAUAUUGGGCAAUGGGGGAAACCCUGACCCAGCAACGCCGCGUGAAGGACGAAGGCCUUCGGGUUGUAAACUUCCUUGAUCAGGGACGAAAACAAUGACGGUACCUGAGGAACAAGCCACGGCUAACUACGUGCCAGCAGCCGCGGUAAUACGUAGGUGGCGAGCGUUAUCCGGAUUUACUGGGUGUAAAGGGCGUGCAGGCGGGCUGACAAGUCGGAUGUGAAAUUUCCGGGCUUAACCCGGAAGGGUCAUCCGAAACUGUCGGACUUGAGUACUGGAGAGGAUAGUGGAAUUCCUAGUGUAGCGGUAAAAUGCGUAGAUAUUAGGAGGAACACCAGUGGCGAAGGCGGCUAUCUGGACAGUAACUGACGCUGAGGCGCGAAAGCGUGGGGAGCAAACAG
This 406-nucleotide ribosomal RNA is filed under the name uncultured bacterium. RNAcentral describes it as "bacterial SSU rRNA". It matches the Rfam family "Bacterial small subunit ribosomal RNA", at positions 355 to 775 of the family's 1533-position model. The record is from RNAcentral.